RNAcentral lists this ribosomal RNA (2917 nucleotides) under Pseudomonas savastanoi. Its description in RNAcentral is "23S ribosomal RNA". It matches the Rfam family "Bacterial large subunit ribosomal RNA". The record is from RNAcentral. Lineage: Bacteria; Pseudomonadati; Pseudomonadota; Gammaproteobacteria; Pseudomonadales; Pseudomonadaceae.
GUUAUAUGGUCAAGUGAAGAAGCGCAUACGGUGGAUGCCUUGGCAGUCAGAGGCGAUGAAAGACGUGGUAGCCUGCGAAAAGCUUCGGGGAGUCGGCAAACAGACUGUGAUCCGGAGAUGUCUGAAUGGGGGAACCCAGCCAUCAUAAGAUGGUUAUCUUGUACUGAAUACAUAGGUGCAAGAGGCGAACCAGGGGAACUGAAACAUCUAAGUACCCUGAGGAAAAGAAAUCAACCGAGAUUCCCUUAGUAGUGGCGAGCGAACGGGGACCAGCCCUUAAGUUGUAUUGAGAUUAGCGGAACGUUCUGGAAAGGACGGCCAUAGUGGGUGAUAGCCCUGUACGCGAAAAUCCCUUUGCAAUGAAAUCGAGUAGGACGGGGCACGAGAAACCUUGUCUGAAUAUGGGGGGACCAUCCUCCAAGGCUAAAUACUACUGACUGACCGAUAGUGAACCAGUACCGUGAGGGAAAGGCGAAAAGAACCGCGGAGAGCGGAGUGAAAUAGAUCCUGAAACCGUAUGCGUACAAGCAGUGGGAGCCCACUUUGUUGGGUGACUGCGUACCUUUUGUAUAAUGGGUCAGCGACUUAUUUUCAGUGGCGAGCUUAACCGAAUAGGGGAGGCGUAGCGAAAGCGAGUCUUAAUAGGGCGUCUAGUCGCUGGGAAUAGACCCGAAACCGAGCGAUCUAUCCAUGGGCAGGUUGAAGGUUGGGUAACACUAACUGGAGGACCGAACCGACUACCGUUGAAAAGUUAGCGGAUGACCUGUGGAUCGGAGUGAAAGGCUAAUCAAGCUCGGAGAUAGCUGGUUCUCCUCGAAAGCUAUUUAGGUAGCGCCUCAUGUAUCACUGUAGGGGGUAGAGCACUGUUUCGGCUAGGGGGUCAUCCCGACUUACCAAACCGAUGCAAACUCCGAAUACCUACAAGUGCCGAGCAUGGGAGACACACGGCGGGUGCUAACGUCCGUCGUGAAAAGGGAAACAACCCAGACCGUCAGCUAAGGUCCCAAAGUCAUGGUUAAGUGGGAAACGAUGUGGGAAGGCUUAGACAGCUAGGAGGUUGGCUUAGAAGCAGCCACCCUUUAAAGAAAGCGUAAUAGCUCACUAGUCGAGUCGGCCUGCGCGGAAGAUGUAACGGGGCUCAAACCAUGCACCGAAGCUACGGGUAUCAUCUUUUGAUGAUGCGGUAGAGGAGCGUUCUGUAAGCCUGUGAAGGUGAGUUGAGAAGCUUGCUGGAGGUAUCAGAAGUGCGAAUGCUGACAUGAGUAACGACAAUGGGUGUGAAAAACACCCACGCCGAAAGACCAAGGUUUCCUGCGCAACGUUAAUCGACGCAGGGUUAGUCGGUCCCUAAGGCGAGGCUGAAAAGCGUAGUCGAUGGAAAACAGGUUAAUAUUCCUGUACUUCUGGUUAUUGCGAUGGAGGGACGGAGAAGGCUAGGCCAGCCUGGCGUUGGUUGUCCAGGUUUAAGGUGGUAGGCUGAGAUCUUAGGUAAAUCCGGGAUCUCAAGGCCGAGAGCUGAUGACGAGUGUUCUUUAGAACACGAAGUGGUUGAUGCCAUGCUUCCAAGAAAAGCUUCUAAGCUUCAGGUAACCAGGAACCGUACCCCAAACCGACACAGGUGGUUGGGUAGAGAAUACCAAGGCGCUUGAGAGAACUCGGGUGAAGGAACUAGGCAAAAUGGCACCGUAACUUCGGGAGAAGGUGCGCCGGUGAGGGUGAAGCAUUUACUGCGUAAGCCCACGCCGGUCGAAGAUACCAGGCCGCUGCGACUGUUUAUUAAAAACACAGCACUCUGCAAACACGAAAGUGGACGUAUAGGGUGUGACGCCUGCCCGGUGCCGGAAGGUUAAUUGAUGGGGUUAGCGCAAGCGAAGCUCUUGAUCGAAGCCCCGGUAAACGGCGGCCGUAACUAUAACGGUCCUAAGGUAGCGAAAUUCCUUGUCGGGUAAGUUCCGACCUGCACGAAUGGCGUAACGAUGGCGGCGCUGUCUCCACCCGAGACUCAGUGAAAUUGAAAUCGCUGUGAAGAUGCAGUGUAUCCGCGGCUAGACGGAAAGACCCCGUGAACCUUUACUAUAGCUUUGCACUGGACUUUGAAUUUGCUUGUGUAGGAUAGGUGGGAGGCUUUGAAGCGUGGACGCCAGUCUGCGUGGAGCCAACCUUGAAAUACCACCCUGGCAACUUUGAGGUUCUAACUCAGGUCCGUUAUCCGGAUCGAGGACAGUGUAUGGUGGGUAGUUUGACUGGGGCGGUCUCCUCCUAAAGAGUAACGGAGGAGUACGAAGGUGCGCUCAGACCGGUCGGAAAUCGGUCGUAGAGUAUAAAGGCAAAAGCGCGCUUGACUGCGAGACAGACACGUCGAGCAGGUACGAAAGUAGGUCUUAGUGAUCCGGUGGUUCUGUAUGGAAGGGCCAUCGCUCAACGGAUAAAAGGUACUCCGGGGAUAACAGGCUGAUACCGCCCAAGAGUUCAUAUCGACGGCGGUGUUUGGCACCUCGAUGUCGGCUCAUCACAUCCUGGGGCUGAAGCCGGUCCCAAGGGUAUGGCUGUUCGCCAUUUAAAGUGGUACGCGAGCUGGGUUUAGAACGUCGUGAGACAGUUCGGUCCCUAUCUGCCGUGGACGUUUGAGAUUUGAGAGGGGCUGCUCCUAGUACGAGAGGACCGGAGUGGACGAACCUCUGGUGUUCCGGUUGUCACGCCAGUGGCAUUGCCGGGUAGCUAUGUUCGGAAAAGAUAACCGCUGAAAGCAUCUAAGCGGGAAACUUGCCUCAAGAUGAGAUCUCACUGGAACCUUGAGUUCCCUAAAGGGCCGUCGAAGACUACGACGUUGAUAGGUUGGGUGUGUAAGCGCUGUGAGGCGUUGAGCUAACCAAUACUAAUUGCCCGUGAGGCUUGACCAUAUAACACCCAAGCAAUU